RNAcentral lists this long non-coding RNA (229 nucleotides) under Capsicum annuum. Its description in RNAcentral is "long non-coding RNA (CANN_LNC009550)". The record is from RNAcentral. Lineage: Eukaryota; Viridiplantae; Streptophyta; Magnoliopsida; Solanales; Solanaceae.
UGUAUGGUCGAUUGAAGUUGACUCAAGUUUCGACGCUCAUUAAAACUCGAACGAUAGGAAAGCUUUCAACUUGACCUAGAGUUAGGGGACCUCUAUGAUCUUAAUUCAUGCUCAAAUAGGUCCCCACAUAAUUGAUUAAUAUACCAAAUUUUCAUAGGAUUUAAGGCUUUUGGAUCAUCUACACAUAGAAAUAACGAUUUUCGUUCUAGCCCCAAAUGCGAGGUGUUUC